AUGCCCAAUCCCAUUGAUCCAAAAAGAUCAAAGCAAAUCAAAAUAAUUAAACAAAACUCCCCUAGGGCUGUUGUUAGUUGGAGACACUCGUUGUUUCGAGCAAGCCAUGGAUUGAUGCUUGUUGGUGGUUGGGGGAGUAUAAACCUUUACCAUUCUGUUUGGGAACUGCCUAUAAUGCAUGUAGUAUGGAAGAUACAGCCAUCUCAUAGUUUUUGCAUUGACAGCAAAAGUAUGCCGCUCAAAAUGUUAUUCAAUCUCUAUUUUAAAAUCGAGCUCUGGCACCUCUACAAAUCCAUGCUUCCCUCUGCGGAGGGCCUAUCUAUUUACUUUUAUGUUAAGUCAUCACCCUUCUUAUUAAAAAGCACCCACUGGAGAGCACACUGUCAUUUGCAUUUAUUAUUGUUGGUUUAUAUUGGGUAUGACUUGCCUGGAUCUCUUUUACCAUGA
RNAcentral lists this ribosomal RNA (447 nucleotides) under Triticum aestivum (bread wheat). Its description in RNAcentral is "partial small subunit ribosomal RNA". The record is from RNAcentral. Lineage: Eukaryota; Viridiplantae; Streptophyta; Magnoliopsida; Poales; Poaceae.